Molecule: long non-coding RNA, 472 nt
Organism: Patella vulgata (common limpet)
Lineage: Eukaryota; Metazoa; Mollusca; Gastropoda; Patellidae
Exons: 4
Source: RefSeq, a predicted model, not a curated record
CAAGCGCGGAUCCGGAGAAAAUAGUUAUUUAAUGUUUAACCUCAUCUAUACUUUAUAGACUUCCAGAUUUCAAAUGGUCCCGUUGGUAAUGCUAGGUUCUCAGUUUCAUGAUUUGCACUGCGGUUGAAAUCGUGGUUUUAUUGUGGUAAUCCUAUCAGGUCUUAUCAUAUAUUGAGAGCUGAAAUGAUGUUGAAACAUUUUGGAAGAUUUAUUCUUGUCAUAGUCUGUGUUCCAUUCUCUCUAGUACCAAUAACAGUAUCUUCACAACCUGACGCAGGAGCGAACGGGCGUAUUAAUGAUUUCCUCGACCACAUUACCAACUUUACAAUCAACAGACCAAAAUGAAAGUAACCAUGGAUCACCACGUCGUGACAUAAAUACUCAAGAUUGGUCUUUAAUUAUUGGCAGUGUUGUAGCAUCUCUGAUACUCAUUACAUUGGUAAUCGUUAUUGUUACAGAUCAGCAUUAAACG